UGGAAGUUGUGUUCCCUCCGGGACGGUGUCAUUUUAACAUCAGGACGGUUCCGGUUGUGUAUCUAUCACCAUAACAACGGCGGAUAAUGACCGAUACACAUCAGGUGUGGGGGAUUUAGGCUGGGAAAUUGGAGUGUACAAAAGGGAAAGCGAAGAGACAGUUGCGGGGUUCUCCCUGCAGAGAAGUCGUUCUUGGGUGGUGUCGCUGAUUCGGGCAGGUUUCUGAGAAGUGUUGUGAGAGCGUGGCUGUAUUGAGGGUGCAACGCGAGUUGAAGAUGUCAAAUGCUGGAAGGCGAGUGAGAUAUGGAGACUGAGUGAAGACUGGAGAACACUAUCAUCGUCGGAAGGGAGAUAAGUAGUAUGACAUCAGUUUUGAUUGAAUGUAUGCACCCGCACUGAGCUGAAGACGACGUUGUUAAGUGUAUUAAUUAUGAGUGUAAGCGUCACUUGAGAGUGGUUGGAUUGGGUUAUCAUUGAAUUCUUGUUUCUCUUCUUCUGAGUGUGAGCGAUGCUGAGAAAGCUCUGUUUAUUGUGCCAGUAAGGAGGCAUCCGAAUUCCCUCGUUAUGAGAUGAGAACGGACUCAGUACGACAGUGAAAGGAUUGAUCGUGGGAGAAUUCCUCUGCCAACGCCCCCUUAUGUGAUGCCUGCCUGAAGGAGAGCCACAUUGGACACACCCUCGUCUGUUUUACAGUAAUAGACUCCAGCCAGAAUUCUUCUGGUAAUGUCCUCUCAUGUGAUGCCUGCUUGAGGACGGACAUAGAUUGAACACACUUCCGUCUGCUGUACAGAAACGCACGCUCCAGCCGUAAGCCCUUGCCCCUGUAUUAAGGAAAAACAUUCAUGUAUUUGGAUAACUUACUCUGUUUAUUCAAUAGAGAAUUCUUCUGUUAACAUCCUCUUAUGUGAUGCCUGCUUGAGGAGAGACAUUCAUUGGACACACCCCCAACUGCGUUACAGAAACACACUCUAGCUGUAAGCUCUGCACUGUGGGAAAGCAUGCAUGUACUUGGAUAACUUAUUCUGUCUGUUUUGUAAAGGAAUCCCUCCACCAGAGCUCCUCGGGUGGAGGUCUGCUUGAAGGAAGAGACUCGUGUUGGAAGCACUCACGUUGUUCGCUUGGCAGAGGGGAAAACACCGUUCUGACAGAAAAGAGAGAAGCAGCUGCGUGUAGACGCACCGCUUUCAUCAUCAUCACUUCAUGGACCAAGGACCAAAUCUCUCUAUUAAAUAACUAUUAACUAUGACUUUUGCCUCAAUAAACUGAAUUUUUCAGAAUUAAAUCUUAGGUAUGGGGUAGAUUAAGGGAUGCAAAAUAUGAUCAUGCAGAAGAAGGCAUUAAUAUGUGCUUUAAAAGUACUAAUAAACAUACAAUAUUCUAAUAAUAAAUGCUAAUAAGCAACUAGUUUUGAUUGAACUGGUCGCUACAAAGUGCUCUCGAACCCCUUGUAAUGGAGACUUUUGGUUUGGACACUUUGUGUUUCAUUACAGUUGGCCAUGUUUUAUUUGUUAUCAUGAUUAUUCAAUUAAUUUAGUCAUUAUGUUUAGGUGUGUGAGUGUAACUAUCAUGUGUAUAUUAGUUCAGUCCCAUUUGUGCUUGGUUGUCCGGUGUCUUCAUUGUUAGCAUUGUGUUUGGACUGUUGCUCUUCUGUACAUUAUUGCCUGGUGGAUUAUUAAAGACUACUACCUUUAUUCGUCG
This is a long non-coding RNA of Carassius gibelio (silver crucian carp), 1698 nucleotides long. RefSeq lists it as uncharacterized. NCBI's taxonomy places the organism in Eukaryota, Metazoa, Chordata, Actinopteri, Cypriniformes, Cyprinidae. The transcript is spliced from 3 exons. The record is from RefSeq and is a predicted model, not a curated record.